This 331-nucleotide ribosomal RNA is filed under the name uncultured Lachnospiraceae bacterium. Its description in RNAcentral is "bacterial SSU rRNA". It matches the Rfam family "Bacterial small subunit ribosomal RNA", at positions 28 to 339 of the family's 1533-position model. The record is from RNAcentral. Lineage: Bacteria; Bacillati; Bacillota; Clostridia; Lachnospirales; Lachnospiraceae.
GAUGAACGCUAGCUACAGGCUUAACACAUGCAAGUCGAACGGAGAAUAUACGCUUCAGAAGCUUCGGCAGAUGAUUGUAUAUUCUUAGUGGCGGACGGGUGAGUAACGCGUGGGCAACCUGCCUCAUACUGGGGGAUAACAGUUAGAAAUGACUGCUAAUACCGCAUAAGACCACAGUCUCGCAUGAGACAGGGGUAAAAACUCCGGUGGCAUACGAUGGACCCGCGUCUGAUUAGAUAGUUGGUGAGGUAACGGCCCACCAAGUCAACGAUCAGUAGCCGGCCUGAGAGGGUGAACGGCCACAUUGGGACUGAGACACGGCCCAAACUCC